CAGCACCUCGGGUCCCAGCUGGUGGGGAAGCCACGAGCGAGGACACGAGCACCGGAGCGCCCGGGCGCCUUCUCGCCUCAGCGGGGCUGGUCAGCAAAGGAAGUAGACACAGGUCUCUGCAGGAGGAAGAAAAGACAAAACUCCUGUCCUUCCCCUCCGUGACCACAAAGAUCUCAGCAAAAUCUGAGAACCGCCUUGCUAGAGCAGCAACAGGCACAGAAUCAUGUAGAAUGAAGACAGAGAGGAACACAUACUCUGAACAUGGAAAACUCACUACAAAAUGGGAAUGACUUGUUACUUCCUGUGAUAUUGCCUAUUCUCCUCUCACCUUGAGUACCUGAACACUGUCAUAGAGCUUGCAAGCCACAAAAACCCAAUCUUACAAGCCCACAGCACAUCCUUAAAAAAACAACCCCGCAGUUCCAUUACCAGAAAGGGGCUAAGCCUAGGUUCAGAAUGACAACUGCCAACAGAGACCGGAAUUAAGCAUUUGAAUUCCCAAGUCUCCUACUGACUUGAGUAACUUUUGGAGCAGAUCCUUUAUGUAUAGAGUAUCAUAAAACAGCUUUAAAUCAAAGGAAAAACAUUUACAUAGUAUGUGCAUACACCCUAAUGUAAAUGCAUGAAUGUUAAUUUUUACAUAGUUCAAUAAAAAUCAAUUCUAUAAGCACA
Cygnus olor (mute swan) is the source of this 672-nucleotide long non-coding RNA. RefSeq lists it as uncharacterized. NCBI's taxonomy places the organism in Eukaryota, Metazoa, Chordata, Aves, Anseriformes, Anatidae. The record is from RefSeq and is a predicted model, not a curated record. The transcript has 3 exons.